CCUACGGGAGGCAGCAGUAAGGAAUCUUGCGCAAUGGGCGAAAGCCUGACGCAGCGACGCCGCGUGGGCGAUGAAGGCCUUCGGGUUGUAAAGCCCUUUUCUGGGGGACGAGGAAGGACGGUACCCCUGGAAGAAGCCACGGCUAACUCUGUGCCAGCAGUCGCGGUAAGACAGAGGCGGCGAGCGUUACCCGGAUUCACUGGGCGUAAAGGGUGUGUAGGCGGUCGCGCAUGUCGUCGGUGAAAUCUCCCGGCUCAACGGGGAGAGGUCCGACGAAACUGCGGGGCUGGAGGGCCGGAGAGGGAGGCGAAACUUCCAGAGUAGGGGUAAAAUGCGUAGAUACUGGAAGGUACCUCAAUAGCGAAGGCAGCCUCCUGGCCGGUUCCUGACGCUGAGACACGAAAGCGUGGGGAGCAAACCGGAUUAGAUCCCCGGGUAGU
RNAcentral lists this ribosomal RNA (440 nucleotides) under uncultured bacterium. RNAcentral's name for it is "partial 16S ribosomal RNA". It matches the Rfam family "Bacterial small subunit ribosomal RNA", at positions 338 to 794 of the family's 1533-position model. The record is from RNAcentral.